UACGUAGGGGGCUAGCGUUGUCCGGAAUCAUUGGGCGUAAAGGGCGCGUAGGUGGCGCGGUAAGCGUGCGGUGAAAGCCUGGGGCUCAACCCCGGGUCGGCCGUGCGAACUGCUGGGCUUGAGCACUGUAGAGGCAGGCGGAAUUCCGGGUGUAGCGGUGGAAUGCGUAGAGAUCCGGAAGAACACCGGUGGCGAAGGCGGCCUGCUGGGCAGUUGCUGACACUGAGGCGCGACAGCGUGGGGAGCAAACAGG
This 253-nucleotide ribosomal RNA is filed under the name uncultured bacterium. RNAcentral's name for it is "partial 16S ribosomal RNA". It matches the Rfam family "Bacterial small subunit ribosomal RNA", at positions 524 to 776 of the family's 1533-position model. The record is from RNAcentral.